RNAcentral lists this ribosomal RNA (2399 nucleotides) under Corynebacterium diphtheriae. Its description in RNAcentral is "bacterial LSU rRNA". It matches the Rfam family "Bacterial large subunit ribosomal RNA", at positions 1 to 2223 of the family's 2925-position model. The record is from RNAcentral. Lineage: Bacteria; Bacillati; Actinomycetota; Actinomycetes; Mycobacteriales; Corynebacteriaceae.
GUGUUGUUUGUUAAGGGCACACGGUGGAUGCCUUGGCAUUAUGAGCCGAUGAAGGACGUGUAAGGCCGCGAUAGGCCUCGGGGAGUUGCCAAUAGAGCGUUGAUCCGAGGGUGUCCGAAUGGGGAAACCUGGCCAUGGUUAUGUGUGGUUACCCAUCAGUGAAUUCAUAGCUGGUGUGGGGGUGACGCGGGGAAGUGAAACAUCUCAGUACCCGUAGGAGAAGAAAAUAAUUAAUGAUUCUGCUAGUAGUGGCGAACGAACGUGGAUGAGGCUAAACCGUAUGCGUGUGAUACCUGGCAGGGGUUGCGUGUGUGGUGUUGUGGGGCGUUGUUGGAGGAGGCUGCCGGCUCCUCGCUUGUGAUGUGUGUGUUAGCGGAAGUGGUUUGGAAUGGCCUGCCGUAGUGGGUGAGAGUCCCGUACGUGAAAACAUGUGCAUGCGAGUGGAUGAUGUUCCCGAGUAGCAGCGGGCUCGUGGAAUCUGCUGUGAAUCUGCCGGGACCACCCGGUAAGCCUAAAUACUUAUGAUGACCGAUAGCGGAUUAGUACCGUGAGGGAAUGGUGAAAAGUACCCCGGGAGGGGAGUGAAAUAGUACCUGAAACCGUGUGCUUACAAUCCGUCAGAGCCUCUUUUUGUUAGGUGAUGGCGUGCCUUUUGAAGAAUGAGCCUGCGAGUCAGCGGCAUGUCGCGAGGUUAACCCGUGUGGGGUAGUCGUAGCGAAAGCGAAUCCUAAUGAGGGUGUUUUUUUAGUGGCAUGUCCUGGACCCGAAGCGGGGUGAUCUACCCAUGGCCAGUGUGAAGCAGCUGUAAGAGGUUGUGGAGGCGCGAACCCACUUAGGUUGAAAACUGAGGGGAUGAGCUGUGGGUAGGGGUGAAAGGCCAAUCAAACUCCGUGAUAGCUGGUUCUCCCCGAAAUGCAUUUAGGUGCAGCGUUGUGUGUUUCUUGCUGGAGGUAGAGCUACUGGUUGGUUGAGCGGGACUACAAUCUUAGCAAUGUCAGCCAAACUCCGAAUGCCGGUAAUGUUAAGCAUGGCAGUGAGACUGCGGGGGAUAAGCUCCGUUGGUCGAGAGGGAAACAGCCCAGAUCGCCGGUUAAGGCCCCUAAGGGUGUACUAAGUGGAAAAGGAUGUGGGAUCGCGAAGACAGCCAGGAGGUUGGCUUAGAAGCAGCCAUCCUUGAAAGAGUGCGUAAUAGCUCACUGGUCGAGUGGUUCUGCGCCGACAAUGUAGUGGGGCUCAAGUACACCGCCGAAGCCGCGGCAGUCAGCAAUUUUUUUGUUGGUUGGGUAGGGGAGCGUCGUGCACUGCUGUGAAGCACCUGGGUGACUUGAUGGUGUGGAGUGUGUGCGAGUGAGAAUGCAGGCAUGAGUAACGAAUGAAAAGUGGAAAACUUUUCCGCCGGAUGACUAAGGGUUCCUGGGUUAAGCUAAUCUUCCCAGGGUGAGUCGGGACCUAAGGCGAGGCCGACAGGCGUAGUCGAUGGAUAACCAGUUGAUAUUCUGGUACCCGUGUAUGUGCGCCCAGUGGUGAAUCAGUGGUACUAACCAUCCAUGGAUCUGCUGGUCAUGCUUUGUGUGUGGUUGGUGGUGAUGUGCGUGGGAUCUUCGUUGGUAGUAGCCAAGUGAUGGGGUGACGCAGUGAGGUAGCUGAGCCAUUUAUUGGAUUGUGGUGUAAGCGUGUGGCCCGUGGCAUAGGUAAAUCCGUGUUACAUAGUGGGUGAGGCGUGAUGCGUAGACCUUUGUGGUUGAUGUUGGUGAUCCUGUACUGUCGAGAAAAGCCUCUAGCGAGUGCAUAUAUGGCCCGUACCCAUAACCGACACAGGUGGUCAGGUAGAGAAUACUAAGGCGAUCGGGUGAACUGUGGUUAAGGAACUCGGCAAAUUGCCCCCGUAACUUCGGGAGAAGGGGGACCAUUGCUGGUGACCGACGUGGUUGAGCUGGUGGUGGUCGCAGAGAAUAGAGGGAAGCGACUGUUUAUUAAAAACACAGGUCCGUGCGAAAACGUGGAAGUUGAUGUAUACGGACUGACGCCUGCCCGGUGCUGGAAGGUUAAGAGGACCUGUUAGGGCAUUUUUUGUCCGAAGCGGAGAAUUUAAGCCCCAGUAAACGGCGGUGGUAACUAUAACCAUCCUAAGGUAGCGAAAUUCCUUGUCGGGUAAGUUCCGACCUGCACGAAUGGCGUAACGACUUCCCUGCUGUCUCAACCACAGGCCCGGUGAAAUUGCAGUACGAGUAAAGAUGCUCGUUACGCGCGGCAGGACGAAAAGACCCCGGGACCUUCACUAUAGCUUGGUAUUGGUGUUUGGUUCGGUUUGUGUAGGAUAGGUGGGAGACUGUGAAGUGGUCACGCUAGUGGUUGUGGAGUCGAAAGUUGAAAUACCACUCUGAUCGGAUUGAGCACCU